CCUACGGGUGGCAGCAGUAGGGAAUCUUCCACAAUGGGCGCAAGCCUGAUGGAGCAACACCGCGUGAGUGAAGAAGGGUUUCGGCUCGUAAAGCUCUGUUGUUGGGGAAGAACGUGCGUGAGAGUAACUGUUCACGCAGUGACGGUAUCCAAUCAGAAAGUCACGGCUAACUACGUGCCAGCAGCCGCGGUAAUACGUAGGUGGCAAGCAUUAUCCGGAUUUAUUGGGCGUAAAGCGAGCGCAGGCGGUUGGUUAGGUCUGAUGUGAAAGCCUUCGGCUUAACCGAAGAAGUGCAUCGGAAACCGGGAGACUUGAGUGCAGAAGAGGAAAGUGGAACGCGAGGUGUAGCGGUGGAAUGCGUAGAUAUAUGGAAGAACACCAGUGGCGAAGGCGGCUUUCUGGACUGAAACUGACGCUGAGGCACGAAAGCGUGGGGAGCGAACAGGAUUAGAUACCCUUGUAGUC
RNAcentral lists this ribosomal RNA (465 nucleotides) under uncultured bacterium. Its description in RNAcentral is "partial 16S ribosomal RNA". It matches the Rfam family "Bacterial small subunit ribosomal RNA", at positions 338 to 795 of the family's 1533-position model. The record is from RNAcentral.